Molecule: long non-coding RNA, 503 nt
Organism: Gadus macrocephalus (Pacific cod)
Lineage: Eukaryota; Metazoa; Chordata; Actinopteri; Gadiformes; Gadidae
Exons: 2
Source: RefSeq, a predicted model, not a curated record
AUCACAAUCACAACGGAGCGCUAUGAAUGUUGGGAGACCGGAAGUGUGGCGUUCGUCACGUUCCAUACAACUCGGAAGGCUGGCGUCCGGGGAUUCAGGAACACACCAUGAAUACUAAAUAAUGCUACUUCCGGAAUGAAGGCAACAUCAUAGCAAUGUGACGUGACGAUGUACAAGCCCUGCAAAACUCUAAAUACAUCUUAUAGUAUGGCGAAAGGAUGGUGCAUGCUCUUCACUAAGAAAGGGGUUCCGACAGAGGGUUCAUCUUUUCUGCCUAUUAUAUUAUAACGCCACAGUGUUGGGUCAUAGCCAUUUGUAGACACACCACCCCUUGUUCCUAGAACUGUUUGUCCAUUCUGGGAUUCAGUAGAAACAUGGCAGCCCCUGUGGAAGAGGCUGGCUCCCUAUAUAUGCAGAUGUAAAAGCCUCAUUCUAGGGUAACAAAAACACUAUUCUUAAUUUCAUGUGACAAUACAUUAAUUAAAACAUACUUACGAAUAAUG